AUCCGGAGGUCCACAUCGAAUUCGUCAGAAGAAGAACCACCGUAUGAAAAAGAGCUGUUACACAGUAGGAAACUAGCUAGGAACUCACUCUGAUCCGUUUAUCUUAAUUCCUAAAAAAAACAAAAACAUUGUGCUUUUUUUGCUUAUUUAUUACUGUAGAUUUCAUUUCAUCUUCAUAAUAAAAUUAUGAGUGAAUCAAGUAAGGAUACCAAUAAAGAUCAUCAGCCACCACCGCCGGAGUACGGUACUUUCUAUCCUCCACCGCCGGUGGUCACCGGAUUUCCUCAGCCUGUUCCACCUCCCGGUCUUUCCGGCGAACCUCCAGUCGACGCUUAUGUUCAUGGCUAUCAGUCUGUUCCAGGCUAUACUGUUGCUAAAGGAAGACCUUUGAUAGAACGUCGCCUUCCUUGCUGCGGAAUUGGUAUUGGAUGGUUCUUGUUCAUCACCGGUUUCUUCUUUGCUGCAAUCCCAUGGUAUCUGGGAGCAUUCAUUCUACUAUGUGCUCAGCAUGACCAACGUGAGAAACCUGGAUAUGUUGCAUGCGUAAUCUCUGCUAUUCUUGGAACAAUUGCGGUGGCAUUUGGUGUUACAAAUGCCUGAUUGACAGUUCACAAUAUUUGAAGUCAGUUGUACAGAACUGAGAAGUCGACUGAUGCAUAUAUAAAAAUAAUCAAGUGAAAGGAAACGUUCAAAAGCAUCAUUAAUUUGAAGCUCUCGUAUCCAAAGAUGAUAGAUGUGUGGUGCCAGCAAAUAUGGUUUGUGGUCUGCAUGAUGUGGAGUCGAAACUCGAAAGCUGCUUGAAUACAGUUAUAUGCUUAUUGUACAAUAAUAAAUAGCUUAUAGAAAAGAGGUUUGUGAAUAAAUUGUUUGCGAGAUUCGCAGCUGUAAGGCUCUGAUUACAGAUGAAUAACUUUACCAGGUGGCUUGGAGACUUGACGCAAGUCACCAAUCUUGAGUUUAAAUGAGUCGAAGACUAAGCAAAACUAGAUAAUAAUUGGGUUGUGUCGAUUUCCUGAAGAUGUCUUUCCACACAUAUAUAGAUAUCCCAGGUUAUGUUUCUAUAAAUUGAGUUCACUGUGAUUCCCUAA
RNA transcript from Erigeron canadensis, 1088 nucleotides. It is a transcript of the gene named 60S ribosomal protein L18a-like protein, with no coding region annotated. The transcript has 6 exons. The record is from RefSeq and is a predicted model, not a curated record. Lineage: Eukaryota; Viridiplantae; Streptophyta; Magnoliopsida; Asterales; Asteraceae.